This 213-nucleotide long non-coding RNA is filed under the name Nicotiana benthamiana. Its description in RNAcentral is "long non-coding RNA (NBEN_LNC015458)". The record is from RNAcentral. Lineage: Eukaryota; Viridiplantae; Streptophyta; Magnoliopsida; Solanales; Solanaceae.
UUAGUGAUAUAUAGAAGUCCCUGAUCUCCUUCUUCAAAUCUGCUGGAUCAGUUAUCUUCAGUCCUCCUUCUGUGGAGAGUUCAAUAAUCUUCUUAUACUUAUUUCUCUCCUUCAUGACUGCUGAGAAAUACUUGUUAUUGGAGUCACCAUGUUUGAUCCAUUUAGCUCUUGACUUUUGUUGCAAAGCUGACUCUUCAAUUAAGGACCACUUUU